Molecule: ribosomal RNA, 497 nt
Filed under: uncultured bacterium
Lineage: Bacteria
Description: partial 16S ribosomal RNA
Rfam family: Bacterial small subunit ribosomal RNA
Source: RNAcentral
GAUGAACGCUGGCGGCGUGCCUAAUACAUGCAAGUCGAGCGAACAGACGAGGAGCUUGCUCCUCUGACGUUAGCGGCGGACGGGUGAGUAACACGUGGAUAACCACCUUAUAAGACGGGGAUAACUUGGGGAAACCGGGGCUAAUACGGGAAAAUAUAUUAAACCGCAUGGUUCAAUAGGGAAAAACGGUUUUGUUGUCACUUUAAGAGGGAUCCGCGCCGCAUUAGCUAGUUGGUAAGGUAACGGCUUACCAAGGCAACGAUGCGUAGCCGACCUGAGAGGGUGAUCGGCCACACUGGAACUGAGACACGGUCCAGACUCCUACGGGAGGCAGCAGUAGGGAAUCUUCCGCAAUGGGCGAAAGCUUGACGGAGCAACGCCGCGUGAGUGAUGAAGGUCUUCGGAUCGUAAAACUCUGUUAUUAGGGAAGAACAAAUGUGUAAGUAACUAUGCACGUCUUGACGGUACCUAAUCAGAAAGCCACGGCUAACUACGUG